RNAcentral lists this small nuclear RNA (165 nucleotides) under Solanum tuberosum (potato). RNAcentral describes it as "snRNA U2". It matches the Rfam family "U2 spliceosomal RNA". From Rfam's summary of the family: U2 is a small nuclear RNA (snRNA) component of the spliceosome (involved in pre-mRNA splicing). The record is from Rfam by way of RNAcentral. Lineage: Eukaryota; Viridiplantae; Streptophyta; Magnoliopsida; Solanales; Solanaceae.
ACCACCUCAAAUGUUAGAUCAAGUGUAGUAUCUGUUCAUAUUAGUAUAUUACAUUAUACUAACUCUAUUUUUGAGGGGAUGUCCAUACGGUUGCUUGCUAUUGUGAUUCAGGACCUUCAAGCGUCCUCUGGCGUUGCACUACUGUCUUGACUUGACGCACCCCCA